UACGGAAGGCAGCAGUGGGGAAUAUUGCACAAUGGGCGCAAGCCUGAUGCAGCCAUGCCGCGUGCAUGAAGAAGGCCUUCGGGUUGUAAAGUACUUUCAGUCGUGAGGAAGGUGUUAAGGUUAAUAACCUUAGCAAUUGACGUUAGCGACAGAAGAAGCACCGGCUAACUCCGUGCCAGCAGCCGCGGUAAUACGGAGGGUGCGAGCGUUAAUCGGAAUUACUGGGCGUAAAGGGCACGCAGGCGGUUAAUUAAGUUGGAUGUGAAAUCCCCGGGCUUAACCUGGGAAUGGCAUUCAAGACUGGUUAGCUAGAGUCUUGUAGAGGGGGUUAGAAUUCCAUGUGUAGCGGUGAAAUGCGUAGAGAUGUGGAGGAAUACCGGUGGCGAAGGCGGCCCCUGGGACAAAGACUGACGCUCAUGUGCGAAAGCGUGGGGAGCAAACGAGGAUUAGAUACC
This 455-nucleotide ribosomal RNA is filed under the name uncultured bacterium. RNAcentral's name for it is "bacterial SSU rRNA". It matches the Rfam family "Bacterial small subunit ribosomal RNA", at positions 340 to 786 of the family's 1533-position model. The record is from RNAcentral.